GUCUAUGACCAUGCCACCCUAAACAAGCCCAAUGUCUGAUCUUGGAAGCUAAGCAGGGUUGGGCCUGUUUAGUACUUGGAUGGGAGACCACCUAGAAAGACCAGGUGCUGUAGGCA
Molecule: ribosomal RNA, 116 nt
Filed under: Pteropus alecto (black flying fox)
Lineage: Eukaryota; Metazoa; Chordata; Mammalia; Chiroptera; Pteropodidae
Source: RNAcentral